AUGGAUAUCUCUGUUGAGGAUGAAGAUGAAGAAUUAGAUUUCUGCAUUCUUGCAAUGGCACAUUAUCUUCAAAACAAAGAGAGGGUGCCCUAUGCACCUAGAAGAGCACCAAUGAUGACGGGGUUGCAAUGGGUGCAAGAGAAAGAGAUGAAUCCAAAAGCAUUCUACUCAAUGUUUAGGAUGCGGAGGUCAGUGUUUUACCCAUUGCAUGACAUGCUAGUUGAGAAAUACGGUUUAAGGUCAACUUGCAACAUGCCAAGUAAAGAGGCGUUAGCACUAUUUUUAUGGACUUUGGGGACAUGCCAGACCACCGACAAUAUUGCAGAUCGAUUUGAACACAGUCGGUCUACCAUUAACAAAAAGUUUAAAGAGGUUUUAAGGUGUGUAUAUCGUAUGGCUGGUGAUUACCUAUGA
This 414-nucleotide ribosomal RNA is filed under the name Triticum aestivum (bread wheat). RNAcentral's name for it is "partial small subunit ribosomal RNA". Lineage: Eukaryota; Viridiplantae; Streptophyta; Magnoliopsida; Poales; Poaceae. The record is from RNAcentral.